RNAcentral lists this small nuclear RNA (94 nucleotides) under Caenorhabditis japonica. RNAcentral describes it as "snRNA CJA48962". The record is from RNAcentral. Lineage: Eukaryota; Metazoa; Nematoda; Chromadorea; Rhabditida; Rhabditidae.
GGUUUAAUUACCAAGUUUGAGGUAAACAAUGAAACUGACCCAAAGAAAUUGGCGUUGGCUAUAAAUUUGGAACGUCUCCUUCAGGGGAGACAAA